RNAcentral lists this ribosomal RNA (203 nucleotides) under uncultured Lactobacillus sp. RNAcentral describes it as "partial 16S ribosomal RNA". It matches the Rfam family "Bacterial small subunit ribosomal RNA", at positions 163 to 356 of the family's 1533-position model. Lineage: Bacteria; Bacillati; Bacillota; Bacilli; Lactobacillales; Lactobacillaceae. The record is from RNAcentral.
CUAAUACCGGAAUAAAGCUACUUUCGCAUAGAAAGUAAAGUUUAAAAGGCGGCGUAAGCUGUCGCUAAAGGAUGGACCUGCGAUGCAUUAGCUAGUUGGUAAGGUAACGGCUUACCAAGGCGAUGAUGCAUAGCCGAGUUGAGAGACUGAUCGGCCACAUUGGGACUGAGACACGGCCCAAACUCCUACGGGAGGCAGCAGCG